This 253-nucleotide ribosomal RNA is filed under the name uncultured bacterium. RNAcentral describes it as "partial 16S ribosomal RNA". It matches the Rfam family "Bacterial small subunit ribosomal RNA", at positions 524 to 776 of the family's 1533-position model. The record is from RNAcentral.
UACGGAGGGUGCAAGCGUUAUCCGGAUUCACUGGGUUUAAAGGGUGCGUAGGCGGGCAGGUAAGUCAGUGGUGAAAUCUCCGGGCUUAACCCGGAAACUGCCGUUGAUACUAUCUGUCUUGAAUAUCGUGGAGGUAAGCGGAAUAUGUCAUGUAGCGGUGAAAUGCUUAGAUAUGACAUAGAACACCGAUAGCGGAGGCAGCUUACUACGCGAUUAUUGACACUGAGGCACGAAAGCGUGGGGAUCAAACAGG